GGUUAAGCGACUAAGCGUACACGGUGGAUGCCCUGGCAGUCAGAGGCGAUGAAGGACGUGCUAAUCUGCGAAAAGCGUCGGUAAGGUGAUAUGAACCGUUAUAACCGGCGAUGUCCGAAUGGGGAAACCCAGUGUGAUUCGUCACACUAUCGUUAACUGAAUACAUAGGUUAACGAGGCGAACCGGGGGAACUGAAACAUCUAAGUACCCCGAGGAAAAGAAAUCAACCGAGAUUCCCCCAGUAGCGGCGAGCGAACGGGGAGCAGCCCAGAGUCUGAAUCAGCUUGUGUGUUAGUGGAACGGUCUGGAAAGUCCGACGGUACAGGGUGAUAGUCCCGUACACCAAAAUGCACAGGUUGUGAACUCGAAGAGUAGGGCGGGACACGUGGUAUCCUGUCUGAAUAUGGGGGGACCAUCCUCCAAGGCUAAAUACUCCUGACUGACCGAUAGUGAACCAGUACCGUGAGGGAAAGGCGAAAAGAACCCCGGCGAGGGGAGUGAAAAAGAACCUGAAACCGUGUACGUACAAGCAGUGGGAGCACCUUCGGGUGUGACUGCGUACCUUUUGUAUAAUGGGUCAGCGACUUAUAUUCUGUAGCAAGGUUAACCGUAUAGGGGAGCCGCAGGGAAACCGAGUCUUAACUGGGCGUUAAGUUGCAGGGUAUAGACCCGAAACCCGGUGAUCUAGCCAUGGGCAGGUUGAAGGUUGGGUAACACUAACUGGAGGACCGAACCGACUAAUGUUGAAAAAUUAGCGGAUGACUUGUGGCUGGGGGUGAAAGGCCAAUCAAACCGGGAGAUAGCUGGUUCUCCCCGAAAGCUAUUUAGGUAGCGCCUCGUGAAUUCAUCUUCGGGGGUAGAGCACUGUUUCGGCUAGGGGGUCAUCCCGACUUACCAACCCGAUGCAAACUACGAAUACCGAAGAAUGUUAUCACGGGAGACACACGGCGGGUGCUAACGUCCGUCGUGAAGAGGGAAACAACCCAGACCGCCAGCUAAGGUCCCAAAGUCAUGGUUAAGUGGGAAACGAUGUGGGAAGGCACAGACAGCCAGGAUGUUGGCUUAGAAGCAGCCAUCAUUUAAAGAAAGCGUAAUAGCUCACUGGUCGAGUCGGCCUGCGCGGAAGAUGUAACGGGGCUAAACCAUGCACCGAAGCUGCGGCAGCGACACUAUGUGUUGUUGGGUAGGGGAGCGUUCUGUAAGCCUGCGAAGGUGGCCUGUGAGGGUUGCUGGAGGUAUCAGAAGUGCGAAUGCUGACAUAAGUAACGAUAAAGCGGGUGAAAAGCCCGCUCGCCGGAAGACCAAGGGUUCCUGUCCAACGUUAAUCGGGGCAGGGUGAGUCGACCCCUAAGGCGAGGCCGAAAGGCGUAGUCGAUGGGAAACAGGUUAAUAUUCCUGUACUUGGUGUUACUGCGAAGGGGGGACGGAGAAGGCUAUGUUAGCCGGGCGACGGUUGUCCCGGUUUAAGCAUGUAGGCGGAGGUUCCAGGUAAAUCCGGUACCUUUUAACGCUGAGGUGUGAUGACGAGGCACUACGGUGCUGAAGUAACAAAUGCCCUGCUUCCAGGAAAAGCCUCUAAGCAUCAGGUAACAUUAAAUCGUACCCCAAACCGACACAGGUGGUCAGGUAGAGAAUACCAAGGCGCUUGAGAGAACUCGGGUGAAGGAACUAGGCAAAAUGGUGCCGUAACUUCGGGAGAAGGCACGCUGGUGUGUAGGUGAAGUCCCUGCGGACGGAGCUGAGACCAGUCGAAGAUACCAGCUGGCUGCAACUGUUUAUUAAAAACACAGCACUGUGCAAACACGAAAGUGGACGUAUACGGUGUGACGCCUGCCCGGUGCCGGAAGGUUAAUUGAUGGGGUUAUCCGUAAGGAGAAGCUCUUGAUCGAAGCCCCGGUAAACGGCGGCCGUAACUAUAACGGUCCUAAGGUAGCGAAAUUCCUUGUCGGGUAAGUUCCGACCUGCACGAAUGGCGUAAUGAUGGCCAGGCUGUCUCCACCCGAGACUCAGUGAAAUUGAACUCGCUGUGAAGAUGCAGUGUACCCGCGGCAAGACGGAAAGACCCCGUGAACCUUUACUAUAGCUUGACACUGAACAUUGAGCCUUGAUGUGUAGGAUAGGUGGGAGGCUUUGAAGCGUGGACGCCAGUCUGCGUGGAGCCAACCUUGAAAUACCACCCUUUAAUGUUUGAUGUUCUAACGUUGGCCCCUUAUCGGGGUUGCGGACAGUGUCUGGUGGGUAGUUUGACUGGGGCGGUCUCCUCCCAAAGAGUAACGGAGGAGCACGAAGGUUAGCUAAUCCUGGUCGGACAUCAGGAGGUUAGUGCAAUGGCAUAAGCUAGCUUGACUGCGAGCGUGACGGCGCGAGCAGGUGCGAAAGCAGGUCAUAGUGAUCCGGUGGUUCUGAAUGGAAGGGCCAUCGCUCAACGGAUAAAAGGUACUCCGGGGAUAACAGGCUGAUACCGCCCAAGAGUUCAUAUCGACGGCGGUGUUUGGCACCUCGAUGUCGGCUCAUCACAUCCUGGGGCUGAAGUAGGUCCCAAGGGUAUGGCUGUUCGCCAUUUAAAGUGGUACGCGAGCUGGGUUUAGAACGUCGUGAGACAGUUCGGUCCCUAUCUGCCGUGGGCGCUGGAGAAUUGAGGGGGGCUGCUCCUAGUACGAGAGGACCGGAGUGGACGCAUCACUGGUGUUCGGGUUGUCAUGCCAAUGGCACUGCCCGGUAGCUAAAUGCGGAAGAGAUAAGUGCUGAAAGCAUCUAAGCACGAAACUUGCCCCGAGAUGAGUUCUCCCUGAGACUAUAAGUCUCCUGAAGGAACGUUGAAGACGACGACGUUGAUAGGCCGGGUGUGUAAGCGCAGCGAUGCGUUGAGCUAACCGGUACUAAUGAACCGUGAGGCUUAACCUU
Molecule: ribosomal RNA, 2904 nt
Filed under: Klebsiella variicola
Lineage: Bacteria; Pseudomonadati; Pseudomonadota; Gammaproteobacteria; Enterobacterales; Enterobacteriaceae
Also listed under: 1 other name
Description: 23S ribosomal RNA
Rfam family: Bacterial large subunit ribosomal RNA
Source: RNAcentral